This 228-nucleotide ribosomal RNA is filed under the name uncultured bacterium. RNAcentral describes it as "partial 16S ribosomal RNA". It matches the Rfam family "Bacterial small subunit ribosomal RNA", at positions 524 to 751 of the family's 1533-position model. The record is from RNAcentral.
UACGAAGGGUGCAAGCGUUACUCGGAAUUACUGGGCGUAAAGCGUGCGUAGGUGGUUUGUUAAGUCUGUUGUGAAAGCCCCGGGCUCAACCUGGGAAUGGCAUUUGUGACUGGAAGGCUAGAGUGUGUCAGAGGGGGUAGAAUUCCACGUGUAGCAGUGAAAUGCGUAGAGAUGUGGAGGAAUACCGAUGGCGAAGGCAGCCCCCCUGGGAUAACACUGACGCUCAUG